Molecule: ribosomal RNA, 242 nt
Filed under: uncultured Actinomycetales bacterium
Lineage: Bacteria; Bacillati; Actinomycetota; Actinomycetes; Actinomycetales
Description: partial 16S ribosomal RNA
Rfam family: Bacterial small subunit ribosomal RNA
Source: RNAcentral
GCUCGAGUGGCGAACGGGUGAGUAACACGUGAGUAACCUGCCCUUGACUUUGGGAUAACUUCAGGAAACUGGGGCUAAUACCGGAUAGGAGCUCCUGCUGCAUGGUGGGUGUUGGAAAGUUUCGGCGGUUGGGGAUGGACUCGCGGCUUAUCAGCUUGUUGGUGGGUAGUGGCUUACCAGGCUUUGACGGGUAGCCGGCCUGAGAGGGUGACCGGCCACAUUGGGACUGAGAUACGGCCCAG